GGGCUUUCUUGUGCAUCAUCUUCAGAAGAGACUUCCUUCUGGGACGAGAGCCAUGCAGACCAAUUUGAUGCAGUGUGCGAUGUAUGGUCUGAGCACUGACAGACUGACCCUCCACCCUUUCAACCUCUGCUGGCUGCAAUCAUACGUCUAUUUCCUAAAGACAACCUCUGGAUAUGGCGCUGAGCACGUGCACUUAUUUGCCAUGCGGUGUCAUGUUGGCUUUCCAGUGACCAGUAUGAGAGAGUGUGAUAACACCACAUUUAACACACCUGUGACCUUGUAACACUAACAUGCCACCGGGGAGGGACAAUGGCU
Molecule: non-coding RNA, 315 nt
Organism: Pelobates cultripes (western spadefoot toad)
Lineage: Eukaryota; Metazoa; Chordata; Amphibia; Anura; Pelobatidae
Source: the annotation of a GenBank genome assembly